GACGAACGCUGGCGGCGUGCUUAACACAUGCAAGUCGAACGAAGAGCGAUGGAAGCUUGCUUCUAUCAAUCUUAGUGGCGAACGGGUGAGUAACGCGUAAUCAACCUGCCCUUCAGAGGGGGACAACAGUUGGAAACGACUGCUAAUACCGCAUACGAUCUAAUCUCGGCAUCGAGGAUAGAUGAAAGGUGGCCUCUACAUGUAAGCUAUCACUGAAGGAGGGGAUUGCGUCUGAUUAGCUAGUUGGAGGGGUAACGGCCCACCAAGGCGAUGAUCAGUAGCCGGUCUGAGAGGAUGAACGGCCACAUUGGGACUGAGACACGGCCCAGACUCCUACGGGAGGCAGCAGUGGGGAAUCUUCCGCAAUGGACGAAAGUCUGACGGAGCAACGCCGCGUGAGUGAUGACGGCCUUCGGGUUGUAAAGCUCUGUUAAUCGGGACGAAAGGCCUUCUUGCGAAUAGUGAGAAGGAUUGACGGUACCGGAAUAGAAAGCCACGGCCAACUACGUG
This 510-nucleotide ribosomal RNA is filed under the name uncultured bacterium. RNAcentral describes it as "partial 16S ribosomal RNA". It matches the Rfam family "Bacterial small subunit ribosomal RNA", at positions 28 to 507 of the family's 1533-position model. The record is from RNAcentral.